CAGUAGCCGCGGUAAUACAGAGGAUGCAAGCGUUAUCCGGAAUGAUUGGGCGUAAAGCGUCCGUAGGUGGCUUUUCAAGUCCGCCGUCAAAUCCCAGGGCUCAACCCUGGACAGGCGGUGGAAACUACCAAGCUGGAGUACGGUAGGGGCAGAGGGAAUUUCCAGUGGAGCGGUGAAAUGCGUUGAGAUCGAAAAGAACACCAACAGCGAAAGCACUCUGCUGGGACGACACUGACACUAAGAGACGAAAGCUAGGGGAGCAAACAGGAUUAGAUACCCCUGUAGUCCCUGUCUCUUAUAC
This 301-nucleotide ribosomal RNA is filed under the name uncultured bacterium. RNAcentral describes it as "partial 16S ribosomal RNA". It matches the Rfam family "Bacterial small subunit ribosomal RNA", at positions 509 to 807 of the family's 1533-position model. The record is from RNAcentral.